UGGGGAAUAUUGGGCAAUGGGCGAAAGCCUGACCCAGCAACGCCGCGUGAAGGAAGAAGGUUUUCGGAUUGUAAACUUCUGUCCUCAGGGAAGAAGGAAGUGACGGUACCCAAGGAGGAAGCUCCGGCUAACUACGUGCCAGCAGCCGCGGUAAUACGUAGGGAGCGAGCGUUGUCCGGAAUUACUGGGCGUAAAGGGUGCGUAGGCGGCAAAGCAAGUCAGAUGUGAAAUCCCCGGGCUUAACUCGGGGGGUGCAUUUGAAACUGCAUUGCUUGAGUGCAGGAGAGGAAAGCGGAAUUCCUAGUGUAGCGGUGAAAUGCGUAGAUAUUAGGAAGAACACCAGUGGCGAAGGCGGCUUUCUGGACUGUAACUGACGCUGAGGCACGAAAGCGUGGGGAGCAAACAGG
This 407-nucleotide ribosomal RNA is filed under the name uncultured prokaryote. Its description in RNAcentral is "bacterial SSU rRNA". It matches the Rfam family "Bacterial small subunit ribosomal RNA", at positions 355 to 776 of the family's 1533-position model. RNAcentral also lists the same sequence under 1 other name. The record is from RNAcentral.